AUGGACUUCUGAGAAGUAGGAACUGACGACUUGUGGAGUUUGCUUUUUGCUUUCAUUUUUAAAUGGAAUGAGCUGGUGGGAGCUCCCCGAGUCUUGGCCUGGGCUGGUGCCCCCGUCCCUCCCAGGCCCGUCCAGGCCUGGCACACGGGGACAACGGGACUCUGUGGGCAGCCCGAGCGCGUUACAAGAGCCCGAGGAUACAGAACACACUCGCCUUUCAGAACAAGAGAAGAAAAUCCCCCUUGUGGGUUCUGCCAGCUCCCCUGACCUUUAG
This 274-nucleotide long non-coding RNA is filed under the name Cyanistes caeruleus (blue tit). RNAcentral's name for it is "lncRNA (ENSCCEG00000013821.1)". Lineage: Eukaryota; Metazoa; Chordata; Aves; Passeriformes; Paridae. The record is from RNAcentral.